CCUACGGGUGGCAGCAGUAGGGAAUUUUCGGCAAUGGGGGGAACCCUGACCGAGCAACGCCGCGUGAAGGAAGAAGGAAUUCGGGUUGUAAACUUCUUUUAAGGGGGAAGAGCAGAAGACGGUACCCCUUGAAUAAGCCACGGCUAACUACGUGCCAGCAGCCGCGGUAAUACGUAGGUGGCAAGCGUUGUCCGGAUUUACUGGGUGUAAAGGGCGUGCAGCCGGAGAGACAAGUCAGAUGUGAAAUCCACGGGCUCAACCCGUGAACUGCAUGUGAAACUGUUUCCCUUGAGUGCAGGAGAGGUAAGCGGAAUUCCUUGUGUAGCGGUGAAAUGCGUAGAUAGAAGGAAGAACACCAGUGGCGAAGGCGGAUUACUGGACGAUAACUGACGGUGAGGCGCGAAAGCGUGGGGAGCAAACAGGAUUAGAUACCCCUGUAGUC
Molecule: ribosomal RNA, 442 nt
Filed under: uncultured bacterium
Lineage: Bacteria
Description: partial 16S ribosomal RNA
Rfam family: Bacterial small subunit ribosomal RNA
Source: RNAcentral